This 302-nucleotide ribosomal RNA is filed under the name uncultured bacterium. RNAcentral describes it as "bacterial SSU rRNA". It matches the Rfam family "Bacterial small subunit ribosomal RNA", at positions 29 to 353 of the family's 1533-position model. The record is from RNAcentral.
AACGAACGCUGGCGGCAGGCUUAACACAUGCAAGUCGAACGCGUGUAGCAAUACACGAGUGGCGCACGGGUGAGUAACGCGUGGAUAUCUGCCUUUUGGUUCGGAAUAACUCCGGGAAACUGGAGCUAAUACCGGAUGGUUCCUACGGGAUAAAGAUUUAUCGCCAAAAGAUGAGUCCGCGUACGAUUAGCUAGUUGGUGAGGUAAUGGCUCACCAAGGCGACGAUCGUUAGCUGGUCCUGAGAGGAUGAUCAGCCACACGUGGGACUGAGACACGGCCCAGACUCCGUACGGGAGGCAGCA